RNAcentral lists this ribosomal RNA (253 nucleotides) under uncultured bacterium. RNAcentral describes it as "partial 16S ribosomal RNA". It matches the Rfam family "Bacterial small subunit ribosomal RNA", at positions 524 to 776 of the family's 1533-position model. The record is from RNAcentral.
UACGUAGGGGGCAAGCGUUAUCCGGAUUUACUGGGUGUAAAGGGAGCGUAGACGGCGAUGCAAGCCAGAUGUGAAAGCCCGGGGCUCAACCCCGGGACUGCAUUUGGAACUGUAUAGCUAGAGUGUCGGAGAGGCAGGCGGAAUUCCUAGUGUAGCGGUGAAAUGCGUAGAUAUUAGGAGGAACACCAGUGGCGAAAGCGGCUCUCUGGCCUGUAACUGACACUGAGGCUCGAAAGCGUGGGGAGCAAACAGG